CAGUAGCCGCGGUAAUACGAAGGGGGCUAGCGUUGUUCGGAUUUACUGGGCGUAAAGCGCACGUAGGCGGAUCGAUCAGUCAGGGGUGAAAUCCCAGAGCUCAACUCUGGAACUGCCUUUGAUACUGGGUAUCUUGAGUAUGGAAGAGGUGAGUGGAAUUCCGAGUGUAGAGGUGAAAUUCGUAGAUAUUCGGAGGAACACCAGUGGCGAAGGCGGCUCACUGGUCCAUUACUGAUGCUGAGGUGCGAAAGCGUGGGGAGCAAACAGGAUUAGAUACCCCAGUAGUCCCUGUUUCUUAUAC
Molecule: ribosomal RNA, 301 nt
Filed under: uncultured bacterium
Lineage: Bacteria
Description: partial 16S ribosomal RNA
Rfam family: Bacterial small subunit ribosomal RNA
Source: RNAcentral